This 69-nucleotide transfer RNA is filed under the name Rattus norvegicus (Norway rat). It matches the Rfam family "tRNA". From Rfam's summary of the family: Transfer RNA (tRNA) molecules are approximately 80 nucleotides in length. Their secondary structure includes four short double-helical elements and three loops (D, anti-codon, and T loops). The record is from Rfam by way of RNAcentral. Lineage: Eukaryota; Metazoa; Chordata; Mammalia; Rodentia; Muridae.
GGGGAUUUAGCUCAGUGGUAGAGUGCUUGCCUAGCAAGCACAAGGCCCUGGGUUCGGUCCCCAGCACCA